Molecule: long non-coding RNA, 251 nt
Organism: Thamnophis elegans (Western terrestrial garter snake)
Lineage: Eukaryota; Metazoa; Chordata; Lepidosauria; Squamata; Natricidae
Exons: 2
Source: RefSeq, a predicted model, not a curated record
AUUCCAAACUAGCCUGAAAGUCGCAGCCAGAGCUCAAAACAAAUAAGUUUAGGAGAACAACAUAGAACAAAGUGUUCCUGCCUGUCAACAUGACUGCUUUCGGCUGGCUGAUCGUUCUUUCUCUCCUAUUCCUCUGUUUCUGGAAGACCCAACGUCCCAAAGGUUUCCCCCCUGGGCCAUGGAGGCUGCCCCUGCUUGGGAACCUGCUUCAAUUCAUUAACAGGUUCCCUUGGAAGGAGUUCGACCAGGUA